This 292-nucleotide ribosomal RNA is filed under the name uncultured bacterium. Its description in RNAcentral is "partial 16S ribosomal RNA". It matches the Rfam family "Bacterial small subunit ribosomal RNA", at positions 505 to 796 of the family's 1533-position model. The record is from RNAcentral.
GUGCCAGCCGCCGCGGUAAUACGGAGGGUGCAAGCGUUAAUCGGAAUUACUGGGCGUAAAGCGCGCGUAGGUGGUUUGAUAAGCGAGAUGUGAAAGCCCCGGGCUUAACCUGGGAACGGCAUUUCGAACUGUCAGGCUAGAGUAUGGUAGAGGAGUGUGGAAUUUCCUGUGUAGCGGUGAAAUGCGUAGAUAUAGGAAGGAACACCAGUGGCGAAGGCGGCACUCUGGACCAAUACUGACACUGAGGUGCGAAAGCGUGGGGAGCAAACAGGAUUAGAUACCCGGGUAGUCC